This 266-nucleotide ribosomal RNA is filed under the name uncultured bacterium. RNAcentral's name for it is "partial 16S ribosomal RNA". It matches the Rfam family "Bacterial small subunit ribosomal RNA", at positions 793 to 1055 of the family's 1533-position model. The record is from RNAcentral.
GUCCACGCCCUAAACGAUGAUGACUAGUUGUUGGAGGAGUUAAAUCCUUUAGUAACGCAGCUAACGCGAGAAGUCAUCCGCCUGGGGAGUACGGUCGCAAGAUUAAAACUCAAAGGAAUUGACGGGGGCCCCGCACAAGCGGUGGAUGAUGUGGUUUAAUUCGAUGCAACGCGAAAACCUUACCUACCCUUGACAUGUACGGAAUCCUGCAGAGAUGCAGGAGUGCCCGAAAGGGAGCCGUAACACAGGUGCUGCAUGGCUGUCGU